RNAcentral lists this ribosomal RNA (300 nucleotides) under uncultured Halobaculum sp. Its description in RNAcentral is "bacterial SSU rRNA". It matches the Rfam family "Bacterial small subunit ribosomal RNA", at positions 496 to 795 of the family's 1533-position model. The record is from RNAcentral. Lineage: Archaea; Methanobacteriati; Methanobacteriota; Halobacteria; Halobacteriales; Haloferacaceae.
GUUAACCCUGGGCCGGGGGCGGCGGGAAGACGGAGGUUGCUAGGGGUAAUCGUGAUGACUGUGCGUAAAGCGGGUGUAUGCGGUUCGUUAAGACGGGUGUGAAAUCCCCGGGCUCAACCUGGGAAUUGCAUUCGAGACUGGAGAGCUAGAGUACGGUAGAGGGCGGUGGAAUUCCGGGUGUAGCGGUGAAAUGCGUAGAUAUCCGGAGGAACACCGAUGGCGAAGGCAACCGCCUGGGCCUGUACUGACGCUGAGACACGAAAGCGUGGGGAGCAAACAGGAUUAGAUACCCCGGUAGUC